RNAcentral lists this ribosomal RNA (677 nucleotides) under Hua aristarchorum. RNAcentral describes it as "partial 16S large subunit ribosomal RNA". The stretch from base 288 to 539 matches the Rfam family "Archaeal large subunit ribosomal RNA", at positions 1787 to 2143 of the family's 2987-position model. Lineage: Eukaryota; Metazoa; Mollusca; Gastropoda; Semisulcospiridae. The record is from RNAcentral.
UAAUACUAAUUAUUAUAUAUUCUACUUUUUUCACUAAUUCUUUUGAGGAUAAGCUCAAAGAGAAAGUUAAGAUAUUUAUGAUUAUAGGCCGCCGUGUGGGCUUAAAAUUGGCCACCACAAAAGUUUGUUAUAAAAUAACGGUUUCAACUCAAAAAAUAAAUAUAUUUUAAUCUAACUUCUUACGGAAAUAAAAUCUUUAACUAAAGUAAGUUUUAUACCUAUGCUAGGAUGAGUAUUAUAAACUAAUAUUAAACAUGAAAAUAUUUCUUCAGUAAAAAUUAUUCAAACAAACUAAUUAAUUAAAAGGAACUCGGCAAAAUUAGUUGCUUCGCCUGUUUAUCAAAAACAUGGCUCUCUGCUUAUGUAAAUAUAGAGAGUCGAGCCUGCCCAGUGAAUUUUCAACGGCCGCGGUACUCUGACCGUGCAAAGGUAGCAUAAUCAUUUCCCUUAUAAUUGAAGGCUAGUAUGAAUGGUUUGACGAGAGCAACGCUGUCUCUUUUUUAUUUUCAAGAACUUAACUUUUAGGUGAAGAGGCCUAAAUUUUAUUGAAGGACAAGAAGACCCUGUCGAGCUUAAAAGAUAUUAUAAGAAGUGUAUAUAUUUUUAAAUAAAUUUUCUAUUCAGCUUUUUAGUUGGGGCGACUAAGGAACAAAAAAAGCUUCUUAUUAAUAAUAAAC